RNAcentral lists this unclassified non-coding RNA (233 nucleotides) under Hevea brasiliensis (rubber tree). The record is from RNAcentral. Lineage: Eukaryota; Viridiplantae; Streptophyta; Magnoliopsida; Malpighiales; Euphorbiaceae.
AUAAAGACAUAUUAUGUAUAUAGUACAUUAAAUUAUAUGCCCCAUGCAUAUAAGCAAGUACAUAAUUCCUAUUGAUAGUACAUAGUACAUGAAAUUAUUAAUCGUACAUAACACAUUAUGUCAAACCUACUCUUAACAACAUGUAUGCCUCCUCCACUAGAUCACGAGCUUAACUACCAUGCCGCGUGAAACCAGCAACCCGCUAGGCGGAGGACUCCUCUUCUCGCUCCGGG